GCGGGUUUAGCUCAGUUGGGAGAGCGUCAGACUGAAGUCAACUUCAGGACUACUUAAUCUGAAGGUCAUGUGUUCGAUCCACAUAAACCGCA
Non-coding RNA from Trichocladium antarcticum, 92 nucleotides. Lineage: Eukaryota; Fungi; Ascomycota; Sordariomycetes; Sordariales; Chaetomiaceae. The record is from the annotation of a GenBank genome assembly.